This 252-nucleotide ribosomal RNA is filed under the name uncultured bacterium. RNAcentral's name for it is "partial 16S ribosomal RNA". It matches the Rfam family "Bacterial small subunit ribosomal RNA", at positions 524 to 776 of the family's 1533-position model. The record is from RNAcentral.
UACGGAGGAUGCGAGCGUUAUCCGGAUUUAUUGGGUUUAAAGGGUGCGUAGGCGGGCUUUUAAGUCAGCGGUAAAAAUUCGGGGCUCAACCCCGUCCGGCCGUUGAAACUGGAGGUCUUGAGUGGGCGAGAAGAAGGCGGAAUGCGUGGUGUAGCGGUGAAAUGCAUAGAUAUCACGCAGAACCCCGAUUGCGAAGGCAGCCUUCCGGCGCCCUACUGACGCUGAGGCACGAAAGUGCGGGGAUCGAACAGG